GGAAGUGAGGGUGAUCUGGCUGCGACAUCUGUCACCCCACUGAUUGCCAGGGUUGAUUCUGCUGAUCUGGCUGGCUAGGCGGGGGUCCCCUUCCUCCCUCACCGCUCCAUGUGCGUCCCUCCCAAAGCUGCACACUCGGUCAAAGAGGACGACCACCCCCAAUAGAGGAGGACUGUUUCCUCGGUCAAGGGUAUACGAGUAGCUGCGCUCCCCUGCUAGAACCUCCAAACAAGCUCUCAAAACAACAACAAAAAAAAUAUUUCAUCAGAAUGAGAAUAAACUAUGGAGACCCAUAACCACUAAAAAAGAAUGAAGUACAUCUAUAGAUGAUGAUAUGUCU
This 340-nucleotide small nuclear RNA is filed under the name Heterocephalus glaber (naked mole-rat). RNAcentral's name for it is "7SK RNA". It matches the Rfam family "7SK RNA". Rfam says of the family: 7SK was discovered as an abundant small nuclear RNA in the mid-70s but a possible function has only recently been suggested. The record is from Rfam by way of RNAcentral. Lineage: Eukaryota; Metazoa; Chordata; Mammalia; Rodentia; Bathyergidae.